This 274-nucleotide ribosomal RNA is filed under the name Paenibacillus sp. ISO221_OTU8029. RNAcentral's name for it is "partial 16S ribosomal RNA". It matches the Rfam family "Bacterial small subunit ribosomal RNA", at positions 29 to 289 of the family's 1533-position model. The record is from RNAcentral. Lineage: Bacteria; Bacillati; Bacillota; Bacilli; Caryophanales; Paenibacillaceae.
ACGAACGCUGGCGGCAUGCUUAAUACAUGCAAGUCGAGCGGACUUGAAGAGAAGCUUGCUUCUUUGAUGGUUAGCGGCGGACGGGUGAGUAACACGUAGGCAACCUGCCCUCAAGUUUGGGACAACUACCGGAAACGGUAGCUAAUACCGAAUAAUUGUUUUCUUCGCCUGAAGGAAACUGGAAAGACGGAGCAAUCUGUCACUUGGGGAUGGGCCUGCGGCGCAUUAGCUAGUUGGUGAGGUAACGGCUCACCAAGGCGACGAUGCGUAGCCG